Long non-coding RNA from Raphanus sativus (radish), 1493 nucleotides. RefSeq lists it as uncharacterized. The transcript has 5 exons. NCBI's taxonomy places the organism in Eukaryota, Viridiplantae, Streptophyta, Magnoliopsida, Brassicales, Brassicaceae. The record is from RefSeq and is a predicted model, not a curated record.
UAGAAAAUUCAGCCAAUAGGAUUUAAGAAAUCAUCCACGUCAUCUUUAUUAAAGAAAAAAAAAACAGAAAGGACCCGACGACGGAAGUCACGAAGAUCUUCCCCUAUACCACUUCGUCUUCUCCGCUUGAAACCAUAACGACUGAAUUUUGUUCUCCUGGACGAGGCUUCCAUGGUUCAGAUCGUCAGAGAUGAAUAAAGGGGAAGUUCUUAGCCUCUAUUUUCCAUGAACCUCGCUGGUCAAUCUGUUUCUCUCACUCUGAUUUGGUUUGUUUUUUGGUACGUGAAGCAUUGUGUGAGCAGAGUUGGUGGUCGUGAGCUUUAACACGGAGGAGGCACGGCGCGAUGGUGAUUGUGCUAGCUGAUGAUGAUGACGAUGUUUGGAUUUAGAUCUAGGUUUAAUUUGUUUCGGUUGAGUGUUUUUCUUUUUGCUUCGGUUUGGUGUCUUUUUUUUUAAUAUGGUUUAUUAAUGUAUUGGCUGUGAUCAUUAGUUGACUAUGUGGAGAACACAAUCUAUGCUUGCAAUGGUUACCAUGUUCCUCGAUGCUGUGAAAUUAGAGUCCCACUGGCCAAUGAUUUAGGGUUUAAGGUAACAAAACAAAGCGUGUGGAGGAAGAGUCUGGCAAGCUGUUUCUGCUAACCGUCACCCUGGUGCCGGGAAUUUCAUGUCGAACCAGCAAAGCCUAGGAGCUCAACUUGCCCAGCUUGGUAGAGAUGCUUCAGCUGCUGGAGCUGCUCGCCGUUUUACCACACAGAAGAAGAGUAUUGUAGAGAUUGAAUCGGUUGGUGUUGCUGGUAAAACUGAGAGCCGUGUUAAGAAACACUUCCGCCUAGAGUUUGUAAAUGCUCCAUGUAUAAAUAAAUAGUGAAAGUCGGACUUGAAGGACGUUUUGGCGACUUCUCAUACAACCACGGCAGAUGAAGUUGAUGAGGAAGAAAAAUGUCCUUUGACGUUGAUGAGAAAGAAAAAUGUUUGCGAUUUACCAAUGAUCUUGACGUUGAUGAGGAAGAAAAAAUUUUCCGUUACAGAUAGCAGCUCUGUUUUCAAAUGAAGUGAUGUUAUGAGUGCCUUGUAGCAACGUUUUUUUUGAGCCUUCCAGAGCUGUAGUUUCUCAAACAGAGCAGGAGAGAGGACCAAGUUCUCGGAGAAUUGAAGUUGCAUUUGGUAGCCACAUGUUUCCAGAUCGGCCACAGAAUGAGCACUCAAAGAAACAGUGAGCGAUGGAUUCUGGAGCAGCAUUACAGAGCAAACAGUUAGGGUCAGUUUGCAAUCCCCAACUCAGAAUUCUAUCUCUUGCCGUGUCUUAAUUACUAAGCGAUUCAGAAUCUAACUUUGGUCUGAUUUUGUCAUUUAGUUGCCGUGUCUAUCGUAUGUUGCUGCAAAGCUUAAGACAUGAACGAGGUUUAGUGCAUUUGGUUUAGUUUACAAAUUGUCUUUGAACUCCAGCAACUUUGUCUUUUAUUUGCUACAAGGUUAAGAUUUUAUUUUCAUGA